CUUUAAUAUUCAUUUUACGAUAUUGGAGAUCUAGAGUUGGACAUUUUCGAUCUAAAACAAGCAAUCGCAGAAAAGCUACAUGUAUGGUACCGUGUGAAGGUCAUUCGAAAUAUACAAAAGUAUACACGAAUACAAUUAGCGAUGAAAACUAAGAUCAACUGACUGUGGCAUCAAUAUUUAAUGUUUAUGUAGCUUUUGAAAUGUAAAACUAAUACUUUUUUUUUUGUAAACACAUUUGUUUUUAAGAUAAAGUUUAUUGUUUUAUUUCUAUUGUAUUUUUAAAAAAAAUACCUAUAUGGUCCAAAUACUCAUAUGGUCCGGCCCGUUAAUAACCAAAC
This 338-nucleotide long non-coding RNA is filed under the name Mytilus galloprovincialis (Mediterranean mussel). The record is from RNAcentral. Lineage: Eukaryota; Metazoa; Mollusca; Bivalvia; Mytilida; Mytilidae.